Molecule: ribosomal RNA, 301 nt
Filed under: uncultured bacterium
Lineage: Bacteria
Description: partial 16S ribosomal RNA
Rfam family: Bacterial small subunit ribosomal RNA
Source: RNAcentral
CAGUCGCCGCGGUAAUACGUAGGGUGCAAGCGUUAAUCGGAAUUACUGGGCGUAAAGCGUGCGCAGGCGGUUUGUUAAGACAGAUGUGAAAUCCCCGGGCUCAACCUGGGAACUGCAUUUGUGACUGGCAAGCUAGAGUCUGGCAGAGGGGGGUGGAAUUCCGCGUGUAGCAGUGAAAUGCGUAGAUAUGCGGAGGAACACCGAUGGCGAAGGCAGCCCCCUGGGCCAACACUGACGCUCAUGCACGAAAGCGUGGGGAGCAAACAGGAUUAGAGACCCCAGUAGUCCCUGUCUCUUAUAC